GAUGAAGAACGCAGCGAAAUGCGAUAAGUAAUGCAAAUUGCAGAAUUUCCGUGAGUCAUCGAAUCUUUGAACGCACAUUGCGCCCACUGGUAUUCCGGUGGGCAUGCCUGUUCGAGCGUCAUUAUCCUCCCUCAAACCCCGGGUUUGGUGUUGGACCCAAGUUGUGUGAACAACUGGUCUCAAAGACAAUGACGGCGUCCGUGGGACCCUCGGUGCAACGAGCUUUUAGGAGCACGCGCCGAGUUGCAAGGACCUUCCGGGCCGGUCUCCUUUACUAUUUUACAAGGUUGACCUCGGAUCAGGUAGGAAUACCCGCUGAACUUAAGCAUAUCAAUAAGCGGAGGA
Molecule: unclassified non-coding RNA, 345 nt
Filed under: soil metagenome
Description: partial contains 5.8S ribosomal RNA, internal transcribed spacer 2, and large subunit ribosomal RNA
Rfam family: 5.8S ribosomal RNA (bases 1-121)
Source: RNAcentral